Molecule: ribosomal RNA, 218 nt
Filed under: uncultured Rhodoferax sp.
Lineage: Bacteria; Pseudomonadati; Pseudomonadota; Betaproteobacteria; Burkholderiales; Comamonadaceae
Description: partial 16S ribosomal RNA
Rfam family: Bacterial small subunit ribosomal RNA
Source: RNAcentral
GGAGGAAGGUGGGGAUGACGUCAAGUCCUCAUGGCCCUUAUAGGUGGGGCUACGCACGUCAUACAAUGGCUGGUACAAAGGGUUGCCAACCCGCGAGGGGGAGCCAAUCCCAUAAAGCCAGUCGUAGUCCGGAUCGUAGUCUGCAACUCGACUACGUGAAGUCGGAAUCGCUAGUAAUCGUGGAUCAGAAUGUCACGGUGAAUACGUUCCCGGGUCUU